UUCCUCGUGGUCGCGCACCCGGCUCACCUCAAGAACAAAGCGCGGUUUCCUCCCUCGCCAUCCUUCCUUAUGGUCGCGCACCCGGCUCACCUCAACAACAAAGCGCGGUUUCCUCCCUCGCCAUCCUUCCUCGUGGUCGCGCACCCGGUUGGAUUUCACAGUCAUGGAAGUUCUGCUUUAAAAUCCGUUUCUGAAGAAGUGUUAAUGAUCUUGACACUGCUGACCAGGGACAAAAUGUCCCAUUGACAGUCAUGCUCUGGAGCAGGAUGGGCAGUGAGAGACCAGAGACCACAGGAUGGGUAAGAAAUAGCCCAGCUCAGGCUACUGGGUUGAAGAACUGCCAGAGCGUGAUCGCCAACGUGCAGAUUUCUGAUCUACGUGUAAUGUAGAAGCUGACUGUUCUGUAUCUGACGUUUCAUUUAGAGUCUAUGAAGUAGCUUAGGCCAAUUACUCAUAGCCGCCUGCCCCUCCUCAGUUACCUGGACAUAUGUCUUGUGUUCUGGAAUCAAAACUAAUUCUGAAUGCAUAUCCUGAAAACAUGGGACACUUACUCAGAUUUCACUCUUGGGUGUCAUUGGCCUUUUAAUUAUUUUCUAUCAAUAGACCGACCUUAGAUUUACUUGUCAAAAAAAGUAAGGUCAUUUUAUGAGCACUUUCAUUCCAAUUUCCUAGAUGUCUUUUCUGAUUAGAAAAACCUAUAAACUAUGUAGCUUUGAAUUUAUAGAAUCAUUAUUCCUGAAGGUUUUGCUGUCCUUUGCGCUCAGAGAUGGUCCCACUGACUCAGAGAUGGUCCCACUGACCCAGCAUGGCAGAGCCUGUGAUUGCAGCUCCAGGGGCCCUCAAUUCAUUUGUUUCCCUGCCUCUCCAUCUCCCCAUGUUAUCCUGUCACCCCAAAAAGCACCUGCCUGCAACACGGUC
This 918-nucleotide long non-coding RNA is filed under the name Homo sapiens (human). Its description in RNAcentral is "non-protein coding lnc-PFKP-9:4". Lineage: Eukaryota; Metazoa; Chordata; Mammalia; Primates; Hominidae. The record is from RNAcentral.